This 84-nucleotide transfer RNA is filed under the name Collybia nuda. Its description in RNAcentral is "Lepista nuda tRNA". It matches the Rfam family "tRNA". Rfam says of the family: Transfer RNA (tRNA) molecules are approximately 80 nucleotides in length. Their secondary structure includes four short double-helical elements and three loops (D, anti-codon, and T loops). The record is from Rfam by way of RNAcentral. Lineage: Eukaryota; Fungi; Basidiomycota; Agaricomycetes; Agaricales; Clitocybaceae.
GGCUACCUAGCGCAAUGGUAGCGCGUUUGGCUUCGAUUGCUGAAUGGUACCAAAAGGUUGCAGGUUCGAGUCCUGCGGUGGUCA